RNAcentral lists this unclassified non-coding RNA (329 nucleotides) under soil metagenome. RNAcentral describes it as "partial contains 5.8S ribosomal RNA, internal transcribed spacer 2, and large subunit ribosomal RNA". The stretch from base 1 to 118 matches the Rfam family "5.8S ribosomal RNA", at positions 37 to 154 of the family's 154-position model. The record is from RNAcentral.
UGAAGAACGCAGCGAAAUGCUAUAAGUAAUGUGAAUUGCAGAAUUCAGUGAAUCAUCGAAUCUUUGAACGCACAUUGCGCCCCCUGGUAUUCCGGGGGGCAUGCCUGUUCGAGCGUCAUUUCACCACUCAAGCCUCGCUUGGUAUUGGGCAACGCGGUCCGCCGCGUGCCUCAAAUCGACCGGCUGGGUCUUCUGUCCCCUAAGCGUUGUGGAAACUAUUCGCUAAAGGGUGUUCGGGAGGCUACGCCGUAAAACAACCCCAUUUCUAAGGUUGACCUCGGAUCAGGUAGGGAUACCCGCUGAACUUAAGCAUAUCAAUAAGCGGAGGA